GGGCGGCUGGCGGAACAGGUAGACGCGCACGUUUGAGGGGCGUGUGGGGUGACCCAUCCGGGUUCGAGUCCCGGGCCGCCCACCA
This 85-nucleotide transfer RNA is filed under the name Chloroflexota bacterium. RNAcentral's name for it is "Chloroflexi bacterium tRNA-Leu". It matches the Rfam family "tRNA". From Rfam's summary of the family: Transfer RNA (tRNA) molecules are approximately 80 nucleotides in length. Their secondary structure includes four short double-helical elements and three loops (D, anti-codon, and T loops). Further hydrogen bonds mediate the characteristic L-shaped molecular structure. tRNAs have two regions of fundamental functional importance: the anti-codon, which is responsible for specific mRNA codon recognition, and the 3' end, to which the tRNAs corresponding amino acid is attached (by aminoacyl-tRNA synthetases). tRNAs cope with the degeneracy of the genetic code in two manners: having more than one tRNA (with a specific anti-codon) for a particular amino acid; and 'wobble' base-pairing, i.e. permitting non-standard base-pairing at the 3rd anti-codon position. The record is from RNAcentral. Lineage: Bacteria; Bacillati; Chloroflexota. RNAcentral also lists the same sequence under 1 other name.